UACGUAGGGUGCGAGCGUUGUCCGGAAUUAUUGGGCGUAAAGAGCUCGUAGGCGGUCUGUCGCGUCGAUCGUGAAAACUUGGGGCUUAACCCUGAGCUUGCGGUCGAUACGGGCAUGACUGGAGUUCGGCAGGGGAGACUGGAAUUCCUGGUGUAGCGGUGAAAUGCGCAGAUAUCUGGAGGAACACCGGUGGCGAAGGCGGCAUCCUGGACCGGCAUUGACGCUGAGGCGCGAAAGCCAGGGGAGCAAACGGG
Molecule: ribosomal RNA, 254 nt
Filed under: uncultured bacterium
Lineage: Bacteria
Description: partial 16S ribosomal RNA
Rfam family: Bacterial small subunit ribosomal RNA
Source: RNAcentral